This 987-nucleotide ribosomal RNA is filed under the name Bacteroidia bacterium. RNAcentral's name for it is "bacterial SSU rRNA". It matches the Rfam family "Bacterial small subunit ribosomal RNA", at positions 1 to 986 of the family's 1533-position model. The record is from RNAcentral. Lineage: Bacteria; Pseudomonadati; Bacteroidota; Bacteroidia.
ACAAUGAAGAGUUUGAUCCUGGCUCAGGAUGAACGCUAGCGGCAGGCUUAAUACAUGCAAGUCGAACGGUAACAUGAGUAGCAAUACUUGAUGACGAGUGGCGCACGGGUGCGUAACGCGUAUGCAACUUACCUUCAACUGGAAGAUAGCCCCUCGAAAGAGGGAUUAAUAUUCCAUAAUUUUAUGAUUUGGCAUCAAAUUAUAAUUAAAGAUCAGUCGGUUGAAGAUAGGCAUGCGUGACAUUAGCUAGUUGGUGAGGUAAUGGCUCACCAAGGCAACGAUGUCUAGGGGAUCUGAGAGGACUAACCCCCACACUGGUACUGAGACACGGACCAGACUCCUACGGGAGGCAGCAGUAAGGAAUAUUGGUCAAUGGAGGCAACUCUGAACCAGCCAUGCCGCGUGAAGGAUGAAGGCCCUAUGGGUUGUAAACUUCUUUUAUACGGGAAGAAACCUCCGCACGUGUGCGGAGCUGACGGUACUGUAAGAAUAAGGAUCGGCUAACUCCGUGCCAGCAGCCGCGGUAAUACGGAGGAUCCAAGCGUUAUCCGGAUUUAUUGGGUUUAAAGGGUGCGUAGGCGGAAUAGUAAGUCAGUGGUGAAAGCCUGUCGCUUAACGACAGAACUGCCAUUGAUACUGCUAAUCUUGAGUAUAAUUGAAGUGGGCGGAAUGUGUCGUGUAGCGGUGAAAUGCUUAGAUAUGACACAGAACACCAAUUGCGAAGGCAGCUCACUAAACUAUAACUGACGCUGAGGCACGAAAGCGUGGGGAUCAAACAGGAUUAGAUACCCUGGUAGUCCACGCUGUAAACUAUGAUUACUCGAUGUGUGCGAUAUACAGUACGCGUCUUAGCGAAAGUGAUAAGUAAUCCACCUGGGGAGUACGCUCGCAAGAGUGAAACUCAAAGGAAUUGACGGGGGCCCGCACAAGCGGAGGAGCAUGUGGUUUAAUUCGAUGAUACGCGAGGAACCUUACCUGGGCUUGAAA